UGUGUAGGCGGUUGCUUAAGUUUGGUGUGAAAUCUCCCGGCUCAACUGGGAGGGUGCGCCGAAUACUGAGUGACUCGAGUGCGGGAGAGGAAAGUGGAAUUCCUGGUGUAGCGGUGAAAUGCGUAGAUAUCAGGAGGAACACCGGUGGUGUAGACGGCUUUCUGGACCGUAACUGACGCUGAAACACGAAAGCGUGGGUAGCAAACAGGAUUAGAUACCCUGGUAGUCCACGCCCUAAACGAUGCACAUUUGGUGUGAGUCAUUCAGUUGAUUCGUGCCGGAGCUAACGCGUUAAAUGUGCCGCCUGGGGAGUACAGUCGCAAGGCUGAA
RNAcentral lists this ribosomal RNA (330 nucleotides) under uncultured bacterium. RNAcentral's name for it is "bacterial SSU rRNA". It matches the Rfam family "Bacterial small subunit ribosomal RNA", at positions 568 to 898 of the family's 1533-position model. The record is from RNAcentral.